UAGCGUUAUUCGGAAUUACUGGGCGUAAAGCGCACGUAGGCGGCUUUGUAAGUAAGAGGUGAAAGCCUGGUGCUCAACACCAGAACUGCCUUUUAGACUGCAUCGCUUGAAUCCAGGAGAGGUGAGUGGAAUUCCGAGUGUAGAGGUGAAAUUCGUAGAU
Molecule: ribosomal RNA, 160 nt
Filed under: Sphingomonas sp. DS-i55
Lineage: Bacteria; Pseudomonadati; Pseudomonadota; Alphaproteobacteria; Sphingomonadales; Sphingomonadaceae
Description: partial 16S ribosomal RNA
Rfam family: Bacterial small subunit ribosomal RNA
Source: RNAcentral